CAGCAGCCGCGGUAACACGAAGGGUGCAAGCGUUACUCGGAAUUACUGGGCGUAAAGCGUGCGUAGGUGGUGGUUUAAGUCCGUUGUGAAAGCCCUGGGCUCAACCUGGGAAUUGCAGUGGAUACUGGGUCACUAGAGUGUGGUAGAGGAUAGUGGAAUUUCCGGUGUAGCAGUGAAAUGCGUAGAGAUCGGAAGGAACAUCUGUGGCGAAGGCGACUAUCUGGGCCAACACUGACACUGAGGCACGAAAGCGUGGGGAGCAAACAGGAUUAGAUACCCGGGUAGUCCUGUCUCUUAUACA
Molecule: ribosomal RNA, 301 nt
Filed under: uncultured bacterium
Lineage: Bacteria
Description: partial 16S ribosomal RNA
Rfam family: Bacterial small subunit ribosomal RNA
Source: RNAcentral